UUCAAUGCCAGAAUCGAGCUUAGCUCACUCCCUAUGAGCGGGAUCUACCGCCAGUAUGUUCUUAAUAUUUCGUACGAGAUAAGCAGAAUUUUGUGCAUAAAGUCAUCAGGCUGUGGAAGAAGUAAAUCCCAAAGAAACAGGGUCUGUUUUAAAGCUCUACAGAUUCUCUCCUUCGGGAUUGGACCAGACAGCCAGCUUUCGCUCCCCAUGUGCAUCAGUGAGCCUUGGGCGUCCAUGACCCUGCUGGUUCACCAGUUGGCCUUCCAUGGACCACUUUUGUGAUUUACGUUCUACGCCGGGCCACAGAUUGAGCUUUGGGCCAUGAUUUAGUUUGCUGUGACAGAGGCACUAAAACAAGCAGGCAGGAACAGCCCCACCCCAGACUGCGGACGGCGGAGGAGCUGGCCGGGCGAGCAAUUACCGCGGUGCCGUUUUUACCAUCGCCGGCCAUUAUUCCUCCGGAGGUGACAAAUAAAAGGGGACACGUUGCUAAAUGGAGCCACUGCGGGCAGCCUCCAGCCUCUGCCGGAGAAAAUGGGUGCAUUUGGUCAGAGACGGUGGAGGGGGAGGGGGAGGGGGAUGCAACUGGAACGUCAAGACCCUGCACGAGUCCGGCACCCUCCAGCCUCUUCCACUGCAAUCACGUUGGCUAAAAAUACCACCAGGCAUCCCGUCACGAAUCUACCGUUACAUGAGCACUCAGCUGAUUUCACAAAAAAAAAAAGAAAAUUAUAUUUGAUGAGCUGGUAAAUAUUAACUAUGAAGAAAGUACUCUGUUGUUGUAAUUGUCCAUCCAUCUUUUAUGACCACAGUGAAAGAAUAAAAUAUUCUAUGGUACAAAGAAGAACUGCCACACGAGCAACAAGAUUGUAUUAAUCCCAGAAUUCCUCUGGUUCAAACAGGAGAAGGAGGAGCAGGCACGCACCUGUUCAGG
Molecule: long non-coding RNA, 934 nt
Organism: Brienomyrus brachyistius
Lineage: Eukaryota; Metazoa; Chordata; Actinopteri; Osteoglossiformes; Mormyridae
Exons: 3
Source: RefSeq, a predicted model, not a curated record